Molecule: ribosomal RNA, 386 nt
Filed under: uncultured bacterium
Lineage: Bacteria
Description: bacterial SSU rRNA
Rfam family: Bacterial small subunit ribosomal RNA
Source: RNAcentral
GACGAACGCUGGCGGCGUGCUUAACACAUGCAAGUCGAGCGGUAAGGCCCUUUCGGGGGUACACGAGCGGCGAACGGGUGAGUAACACGUGGGUGACCUGCCCUCAGCUCUGGGAUAAGCCUGGGAAACCGGGUCUAAUACUGGAUAUGACUCCAUGACGCAUGUUGUGGGGUGAAAGCCUUGUGCGGCUGAGGAUGGGCCCGCGGCCUAUCAGCUUGUUGGUGGGGUGANGGCCUACCAAGGCGACGACGGGUAGCCGGCCUGAGAGGGCGACCGGCCACACUGGGACUGAGACACGGCCCAGACUCCUACGGGAGGCAGCAGUGGGGAAUCUUGCGCAAUGGGCGAAAGCCUGACGCAGCGACGCCGCGUGAGGGAUGACGGCC